CCUACGGGAGGCAGCAGUGAGGAAUAUUGGUCAAUGGCCGGAAGGCUGAACCAGCCAAGCCGCGUGAAGGACGAAGGUGCCAAGCAUUGUAAACUUCUUUUGUCAAGGGACAAAAUCAGGCUCGAGAGCCUGACCGAGGGUACUUGAAGAAAAAGCAUCGGCUAACUCCGUGCCAGCAGCCGCGGUAAUACGGAGGAUGCGAGCGUUAUCCGGAUUUCUUGGGUUUAAAGGGUGCGUAGGCGGGCUGUUAAGUCAGCGGUAAAAGCCAGGGGCUCAACCCCGGCGAGCCGUUGAAAGUGGCUGUCUUGAGAUGUCGAGAGGUAUGCGGAAUGCGCAGUGUAGCGGUGAAAUGCUUAGAUAUUGCGCAGAACUCCGAUUGCGAAGGCAGCAUACCGGCGGCGAUCUGACGCUGAGGCACGAAAGCGUGGGUAUCGAACAGGAUUAGAUACCCGAGUAGUC
This 459-nucleotide ribosomal RNA is filed under the name uncultured bacterium. RNAcentral describes it as "partial 16S ribosomal RNA". It matches the Rfam family "Bacterial small subunit ribosomal RNA", at positions 338 to 795 of the family's 1533-position model. The record is from RNAcentral.